This 1204-nucleotide long non-coding RNA is filed under the name Gallus gallus (chicken). Its description in RNAcentral is "long non-coding RNA NONGGAT005106". Lineage: Eukaryota; Metazoa; Chordata; Aves; Galliformes; Phasianidae. The record is from RNAcentral.
AUCGCAUUGCAAGGCUGCUCUGGGAGCAGGAAAAGUGUUGUGUCACCAAACCUCUCCCACUACGUGAGCCUCAGCAAGGGGAGCAAAGCAAAGGCCUUUGUGGCUGAAGUGGCAGCUGAUCUUGGUGCACUGGCAGCCCAGCUGAGGGAGGAGGGGUCGGGGCAGAGGACAAAUGAAGACGAAAAGGGACAACAAAAAUGCAGUUUAUAGGGAAGCUUUGAGCUUUCUGCGGAGGACAAGGUAUGUGCCACGCAGCUAUUGUUCCCAGAGAUUCCUGCAGGACAGAAGCACAUCCAUAUUCAUGCGUACACCUUCUAUGUCUGAAAAGGUUCCUCGCUACAAUAUUUAAAUACCCGCUGCACCAUUGCCGUUAGAUCUGAGCGAAUAAUCCACAAUGAAUAAUGUAUCCAAUGAAUCCAUCCCCGCUAAUUGUGGAAUAUUCACGAGCAGAUGGCAAUUCCAGGCAGGUUUUUUUUUUGUUUUUUUUUCACGUUUCUUUUUUUCUCCACUCCGAGGACGGAGGUUUGCUGUAAGGAGGUGAUAUUUGAAAUUCAGGCUGUGUUCCCAAGUUCCAAUUGGCCGCUGGUGACAUGGUGGUGUCCCUCUUUCCGCAUUGGCCGGCUGUACAAAGUACUUUGGAUACAAAUACUUGCAUGUGCAGAUUUAAAAUGCAGUUUCCAUGGUUACUCAUGCGUGCAGCUUUGAACUUCACUUUCCUCCAACAUUUGUGCUACUAAAACUCAUUCAGUCGAAGGUUCGUGCAAAGAGGAUACAAAAGAUGCAUGAGGCUAUAUUUGCAUGCUUUAGUAUAGAUGAUUUGUCUUCACAAGCUCAGCCUGGAUAUUCACUGGGCUUUUCUGCCACCUCCUCUGGUGCCUGCUUUCAUGGCUUCCAGCCCACAGGAAUGCUCUUUCCCCCAUAUUAUCAGCCUUUGUGACGCCAGCUUUAGCAUCACAACUGCAUGCACAGCUGGUUGAUAGCUCUACCUGCAGGUCGAUGCAAACAUCUCCUAACCGGUUCUGCAUUCAGCACAGCAAGAUGUGAUCUCCAGCCACUUUGUGCCCAGCUGUGUGUAUUCAGGCUCAGAGCUGUUGACUUUAGCAAGAAAAGGAGUGCUGUCGCCCUGCACGGACUUGUUAAGACCCACAUGCAGAAUAUGAGCUUCAGCCGACCCUCCCUGGGAGAAGCCACGGAAGCAUCGUCC